This 1711-nucleotide long non-coding RNA is filed under the name Sus scrofa (pig). Its description in RNAcentral is "lncRNA (ENSSSCG00065063743.1)". The record is from RNAcentral. Lineage: Eukaryota; Metazoa; Chordata; Mammalia; Artiodactyla; Suidae.
ACUGAACCCGCAACCUCACCGUUCCUAGUUGGAUUCGUUAACCACUGAGCCUCGACAGGAACUCCUCCCGUUUCUUUUUUUCCCUCUUUCUACCUCUUACUCCCCAGCCCACACAGAUCCAAUAAAGCUGAGAGGGGGACCUCGAGGGCUCUUGGGUUCUCAAGCCCACCACGUGCAGGCUUCUGUGACACUUCCUACACCUGUGCCCAUCUCCUCUGCCUGGAACUCCCUCCCAAGAGGCCUGAGGCUCGGGGAGGGCGAGGCUCCUGCUCAAGGUCAAGGUUUAAGGUGGCUCCAAAAGCCCAUUGUCUUCCUCCUCUCUCUCCUUUCCUUCCAUUCCCUUCUUUUCCUCCUUCCUUCCCGCCUUCCUUUUCUCCCUUCUCAAAUUCUUUCUUUUUUCUUUUUUGGCCACCCUGCAGCAUAGGGAAGUUCCCGGGCCUGGGAUCAGAUCUGAGCCACAGCUGCGGCCACGCCGGAUCCUUAACCCACUGUGUCGGGCCAGGGAUUGAACCUGCGUCCAGGUGCUCCAGAGAUGCUGACGGUCCCGUUGCAACACAGAGGGAAAUCCUCUCACCAAAUUCGUGUUUCUUGUUUCCCUUCUGGGGCUUCAAGAUGCCAAGACAAAUGGACAGAGUGGCCGGGAGAAGCAGAAAGAUGUUAAGAGAAGGAGAUCUGGAGAGGAUGCAGGGCCAGGGUGGUUUUGAAGAUUAAGUGAGACACUGCAUUUGAAAGCGCUUGGAGGAAGUCAUUGCUCAAAAACGAUGAUGCUUCAUAAGUAUUUCAAAAAUGAGGAUUUUUCGUAAGUAUUUAAAUAGCCGUUUAUUUAAUGGCCCUUGUGUAUGGGAAACAAUACGCCCAGUCCGGUCCAUCUAGGGGAUUUGAAGAAGACAGAGACCAGAGGUGUGCUGGUAAAGUGGCCCUGGGGAGUGGGAAGGCCUGGCUGGCAGUGUUUGAUGGUUUCUGUAGUUUAAAUAGCCCCACUAUGGUCAAUUUAAAGCUACCAGCAGUUUGAAGUUUCUGUCGUGGCUCAGUGGCAACGGACCCGACUAGCAUCCAUGAGCAUAUGGGUUCGAUCCCUGGCCUCGCUCAGUGGGUGAAGGAUCUGUUGCUGCUAUAAGCUAGCUGUGGUGUAGGUCGCAGACGUGGCUUAGAUCCUGCGUGGCUGUGCCAUAAGCCGGCAGCUGCAGCUCCUAUUUGACCCCUAGCCUGAGAACCUCCGUAUGCCACAGGUGCAGCCCUAAAAAGCAAAAAAAAAAAAAAAGUUACUGGCUGUUUAAGAAAUGGCUGGCAAAAUUCUGAACAAUCGGCUCUGGAGAGCCGUCCCCAACCCAAAGGGCUUUCUCUCUAGUUAGCAGAUGACACAUGAGUGAAAAUUAAACAAUGGUGGCUCACAGAGACCCAGCCCAGUCCAGAGACGGUCGGCUCAUCCGGCCGCAGGGGCUAGAGGGCCUUUGAGGGUGAGCUUCACUGCCAGUGCUGUGACUGGGGCUGCUGUGCUCUGGGGAGAAGGAAGGAGUGCAGGCUGGCUUCUGCUCAGGCUGUUCAGGGGGAUGGGGGGUGGGAGCCUGGCAUUUUGGGUUCCAGUGGGUGCGGAAGGAUCAUGUCUCAGAAGAUGCAAACCCUGGACUCUGCCUCCAGCCAGAGGGUCACAGACAUCAGUUCCAUCAUCGGCACGAUGAAGGCAGGUCUCGCAUGCACAUCCUGGCUCAGC